Molecule: ribosomal RNA, 497 nt
Filed under: uncultured bacterium
Lineage: Bacteria
Description: partial 16S ribosomal RNA
Rfam family: Bacterial small subunit ribosomal RNA
Source: RNAcentral
GAUGAACGCUGGCGGCGUGCCUAAUACAUGCAAGUCGAGCGAACAGACGAGGAGCUUGCUCCUCUGACGUUAGCGGCGGACGGGUGAGUAACACGUGGAUAACCUACCUAUAAGACUGGGAUAACUUCGGGAAACCGGAGCUAAUACCGGAUAAUAUAUUGAACCGCAUGGGUCAAUAGUGAAAGACGGUUUUGCUGUCACUUAUAGCUGGAUCCGCGCCGCAUUAGCUAGUUGGUAAGGUAACGGCUUACCAAGGCAACGAUGCGUAGCCGACCUGAGAGGGUGAUCGGCCACACUGGAACUGAGACACGGUCCAGACUCCUACGGGAGGCAGCAGUAGGGAAUCUUCCGCAAUGGGCGAAAGCUUGACGGAGCAACGCCGCGUGAGUGAUGAAGGUCUUCGGAUCGUAAAACUCUGUUAUUAGGGAAGAACAAAUGUGUAAGUAACUAUGCACGUAUUGACGGUACCUAAUCAGAAAGCCACGGCUAACUACGUG